AUACUAAACUAGAAUGCCUGGUCACAUUUCAAGAGGAAAAUGUAUUAUCAAUUGAUUUCAUUCAAGUUACGAGGUUAAUCAAUUCCCAAUUGCCAGAGAUUUAUCCCUAAAGCGGGGUUCUAUCAUACUUAAUGGGAAGAUCAGAUGAAGCUGAGUGGUUGAAGAUCCAGUCACAGUAGUUCAAUCACCUCUCCCAUGUGUUUUUUUUUUAGGGUUUUCUCUUAGCAAGUCACUUCUCUCUAAUGGAGUUGUCCAGUCCACUCUUGCCUCCCUAAAUAAUUUUUUCCAUAAGAACCAGCUAUGAGAAUGAGAAGUAUCAACCUAAAUUGGCAGCUAUGCAAACAAACAUGCACUGAGGACAACCGACAACAGUGGAUGACUUCUUAUUUUCCAAAGGUGGAGUGUAAUUUGUGUUUGUUCUUGUUCCCUUUAUCACUUCCUUCUAGUUAAUUAACUUAUCGGUUAUCCUCAUGUCUUAUGCCCUAUUAUUUCUUUUCCUUUGUAAGUACUAGUUUUGUGAUGGGGAAGUUCAUCCUCUAGUAUAAACAAAGAAGGCAUUGAUAAGGAUGAACAUUUUUUUUCUUAUUUUGGGUUGAGGGAGAGAUGUUCAAUGGCAAUUA
Long non-coding RNA from Rosa chinensis, 620 nucleotides. RefSeq lists it as uncharacterized. The transcript has 3 exons. Lineage: Eukaryota; Viridiplantae; Streptophyta; Magnoliopsida; Rosales; Rosaceae. The record is from RefSeq and is a predicted model, not a curated record.